AUUGAACGCUGGCGGCAUGCCUUACACAUGCAAGUCGAACGGCAGCACGGGGGCAACCCUGGUGGCGAGUGGCGAACGGGUGAGUAACACAUCGGAACGUGCCCAGUAGUGGGGGAUAGCUCGGCGAAAGCCGGAUUAAUACCGCAUACGACCUACGGGUGAAAGCGGGGGAUCGCAAGACCUCGCGCUAUCGGAGCGGCCGAUGUCAGAUUAGGUUGUUGGUGGGGAAAGGCCUACCAAGCCGACGAUCUGUAGCUGGUCUGAGAGGACGACCAGCCACACUGGGACUGAGACACGGCCCAGACUCCUACGGGAGGCAGCAGUGGGGAAUUUUGGACAAUGGGCGCAGGCCUGAUCCAGCCAUGCCGCGUGCGGGAAGAAGGCC
This 385-nucleotide ribosomal RNA is filed under the name uncultured bacterium. RNAcentral describes it as "bacterial SSU rRNA". It matches the Rfam family "Bacterial small subunit ribosomal RNA", at positions 29 to 416 of the family's 1533-position model. The record is from RNAcentral.